This 395-nucleotide ribosomal RNA is filed under the name uncultured bacterium. Its description in RNAcentral is "partial 16S ribosomal RNA". It matches the Rfam family "Bacterial small subunit ribosomal RNA", at positions 523 to 916 of the family's 1533-position model. The record is from RNAcentral.
AUACGUAGGUGACAAGCGUUAUCCGGAUUUACUGGGCGUAAAGGGCGUGUAGGCGGUCUUGCAAGUCAGAAGUGAAAUUCCUGAGCUCAACUCGGGCGCUGCUUCUGAAACUGCAGGACUUGAGUGCAGGAGAGGUUAUCGGAAUUCCCGGUGUAGCGGUGAAAUGCGUAGAGAUCGGGAGGAACACCAGUGGCGAAGGCGGGUAACUGGACAGCAACUGACGCUGAGGCGCGAAAGUGUGGGGAGCAAACAGGAUUAGAUACCCUGGUAGUCCACACUGUAAACGAUGAAUGCUAGGUGUAAGAGGUAUCGACCCCUUUUGUGCCGGAGUCAACACAAUAAGCAUUCCGCCUGGGGAGUACGGCCGCAAGGUUGAAACUCAAAUGAAUUGACGG